AACCCUAUCGGGCUUUAACUAUUAUUCACUGAAACCCUCUCGGCAGGAUAAACCCCCCUCCGCUUUCCAUUUCUUCUCUGAAAUUUUACUCUCAACCGACCAAGAACAAAUGGCAAUCUCUGCCGCAUCUGCAGCGGCCAGAUCCAUUUUCCGAUCAUCUUCAGUCCGCAAUGCCGCCGCUCGUGUCACCUCCAAAGCCAAGCCAUCUCGUUCCCCCUUCUCUUCGCCUUCACGUACCCCCCUGUCUCAUCGAGUUUUCGGGUCACCGGUGGAAAUGAGUGCUUGUGUAGAGUCGAUUCAGCCAUACCACACCGCCACUGCAUCGGCUUUGAUGACUUCGCUGCUCACCGUCUCUCGUUGCAGCUACGCUUGGCUUCCUGAAGGUUUCUAGCAACAUCUUCUAGGAUCCUCCUUUAUGUCUUUUUCCUUGAUUUUGAUUUCUGCUUGCAACGAUGAUGUAUGAUCAGUGUUCUUCUAUCCUGCAAGGCAUUCAAGAAAAGCUUCUUCAUCACAAUCUCUGGCUUCUGGAUGGGUGAUGGCAAAUCACCUAAUGAGAGAUGCCAGUUAUAUGUUAUCUAGUGUUUUUUCCCUCUGCUUCUACUGGCCUUUAUCCAUUUAGAUGCAGCAUUGGUUAAAGGAGUAAUUAUAUGUUUCUUGCACAUAAGCAUGUAUUAAACAUACGCGAGCUUUACAAUAGAUUAUUGACGAGUUAUGCCUUAAAUUGGUCAAGGGUCAAGGUGGCUGUUACAUAUGUGACUGGCAGAGGAUAUAUUGACAUUUGGAUUGACAAUUAGAAGUUUCAUGAUGAUAAAUAGUGUCUCUUAUAUAGUUUGGUUGGUUUUGGUAUUAAAUGACAAUCUAUGUGGU
This is an RNA transcript of Coffea arabica (coffee), 867 nucleotides long. It is a transcript of the gene named protein NUCLEAR FUSION DEFECTIVE 6, mitochondrial, with no coding region annotated. The record is from RefSeq and is a predicted model, not a curated record. Lineage: Eukaryota; Viridiplantae; Streptophyta; Magnoliopsida; Gentianales; Rubiaceae.